RNAcentral lists this ribosomal RNA (497 nucleotides) under uncultured bacterium. RNAcentral's name for it is "partial 16S ribosomal RNA". It matches the Rfam family "Bacterial small subunit ribosomal RNA", at positions 28 to 507 of the family's 1533-position model. The record is from RNAcentral.
GAUGAACGCUGGCGGCGUGCCUAAUACAUGCAAGUCGAGCGAACAGAUGAGUAUCUUGCUCCUCUGACGUUAGCGGCGGACGGGUGAGUAACACGUGGAUAACCUACCUAUAAGACUGGGAUAACUUCGGGAAACCGGAGCUAAUACCGGAUAAUAUAUUCAACCGCAUGGUUCAAUAGUGAAAGACGGUUUUGCUGUCACUUAUAGAUGGAUCCGCGCCGCAUUAGCUAGUUGGUAAGGUAACGGCUUACCAAGGCAACGAUGCGUAGCCGACCUGAGAGGGUGAUCGGCCACACUGGAACUGAGACACGGUCCAGACUCCUACGGGAGGCAGCAGUAGGGAAUCUUCCGCAAUGGGCGAAAGCCUGACGGAGCAACGCCGCGUGAGUGAUGAAGGUCUUCGGAUCGUAAAACUCUGUUAUUAGGGAAGAACAAAUGUGUAAGUAACUAUGCACGUCUUGACGGUACCUAAUCAGAAAGCCACGGCUAACUACGUG